UGGGGGAUCACUCGGCUUGUCUGUCGAUGAAGAGCGCAGCCAGCUGCAAGAACUGAUGUGAAUUUCAGGACUCGGUGAACAUCGACACCUGGAAUGCAUAUUGCGACCUUGAGAUCC
Non-coding RNA from Acanthosepion pharaonis, 117 nucleotides. The record is from the annotation of a GenBank genome assembly. Lineage: Eukaryota; Metazoa; Mollusca; Cephalopoda; Sepiida; Sepiidae.